Molecule: ribosomal RNA, 823 nt
Filed under: Alteromonas sp.
Lineage: Bacteria; Pseudomonadati; Pseudomonadota; Gammaproteobacteria; Alteromonadales; Alteromonadaceae
Description: bacterial SSU rRNA
Rfam family: Bacterial small subunit ribosomal RNA
Source: RNAcentral
CUACCUGCAGUCGAACGGAAACAUGUCUAGCUUGCUAGAUGAUGUCGAGUGGCGGACGGGUGAGUAAUGCUUGGGAACUUGCCUUUGCGAGGGGGAUAACAGUUGGAAACGACUGCUAAUACCGCAUAAUGUCUUCGGACCAAACGGGGCUUCGGCUCCGGCGCAAAGAGAGGCCCAAGUGAGAUUAGCUAGUUGGUGAGGUAAAGGCUCACCAAGGCAACGAUCUCUAGCUGUUCUGAGAGGAAGAUCAGCCACACUGGGACUGAGACACGGCCCAGACUCCUACGGGAGGCAGCAGUGGGGAAUAUUGCACAAUGGGGGAAACCCUGAUGCAGCCAUGCCGCGUGUGUGAAGAAGGCCUUCGGGUUGUAAAGCACUUUCAGUUGUGAGGAAAAGUUAGUAGUUAAUACCUGCUAGCCGUGACGUUAACAACAGAAGAAGCACCGGCUAACUCCGUGCCAGCAGCCGCGGUAAUACGGAGGGUGCGAGCGUUAAUCGGAAUUACUGGGCGUAAAGCGCACGCAGGCGGUUUGUUAAGCUAGAUGUGAAAGCCCCGGGCUCAACCUGGGACGGUCAUUUAGAACUGGCAGACUAGAGUCUUGGAGAGGGGAGUGGAAUUCCAGGUGUAGCGGUGAAAUGCGUAGAUAUCUGGAGGAACAUCAGUGGCGAAUGCGACUCCCUGGCCAAAGACUGACGCUCAUGUGCGAAAGUGUGGGUAGCGAACAGGAUUAGAUACCCUGGUAGUCCACACCGUAAACGCUGUCUACUAGCUGUUUGUGACUUUAAGUCGUGAGUAGCGAAGCUAACGCGAUAAGUAGACCGC